AUUUCUUUUAAAUACUGAGUGGAUAAAAAAAAAAUAAAAAAUCUGUUCUUAUCAGUUUAAUAUCUGAUACGUCCCCUAUCUGGGGACCAUAUAUUAAAUGGAUUUUUGGAACAGGGAGAUGGAAGAAGAGCUUGCUCUGUCCACUCCACGCAUUGACCUGGUAUUGCAGUACCUCCAGGACCGGUGCACUUCUC
RNAcentral lists this small nuclear RNA (194 nucleotides) under Xenopus laevis (African clawed frog). RNAcentral's name for it is "U2 spliceosomal RNA". It matches the Rfam family "U2 spliceosomal RNA". Rfam says of the family: U2 is a small nuclear RNA (snRNA) component of the spliceosome (involved in pre-mRNA splicing). Lineage: Eukaryota; Metazoa; Chordata; Amphibia; Anura; Pipidae. The record is from Rfam by way of RNAcentral.